This 253-nucleotide ribosomal RNA is filed under the name uncultured bacterium. RNAcentral describes it as "partial 16S ribosomal RNA". It matches the Rfam family "Bacterial small subunit ribosomal RNA", at positions 524 to 776 of the family's 1533-position model. The record is from RNAcentral.
UACGUAGGGGGCAAGCGUUGUCCGGAAUUAUUGGGCGUAAAGAGCGUGUAGGCGGCCAGAUAAGUCCGCUGUGAAAUCUCGAGGCUCAACUUCGAGCUGUCGGUGGAAACUAUCUGGCUAGAGUCCGGAAGAGGAGAAUGGAAUUCCUGGUGUAGCGGUGAAAUGCGCAGAUAUCAGGAAGAACACCCGUGGCGAAGGCGGUUCGCUGGGACAGUACUGACGCUGAGGCGCGAAAGCGUGGGGAGCGAACAGG